AUUUUGGUUAAUUUUUAUUAAUAUUUGUUAAUGUCUGUUAAUUUGGUAAUAUUUCUGUUAAUAUUUCUGUUAAUAUUUCUGUUAAUAUUUCUGUUAAUAUUUCUGUUAAUAUUUCUGUUAAUAUUUCUGUCAACUUACCUGCACAUAAAACAGAAAAAACUUUAUUUUUGACGGGGAUGCUUGCACAGGAGCAUUUUCCUGCAGGAUUUCUGAGAGAGGUCAUGAUUUAUGUCUGGAAUGAGAUUUGAGCUUCUGCAGCCUAGGCCUCCGAUACAGGCCUGAUGUCAGUUUCGAGGAGGCGCUUGUCUCUUCCAGGGCAGGCAGAAUUGUUGCUGGCAGCAGUUUUGCUCCAGGGUAAAUCCUGUGCCAUUCAGAACUAGAAGAUGUAGAAAGUCACUUGGCGCCACAGGCCUCGUUAUCCGACCUGUGCCCUUUUUCCCUGUAAAUCAAGCUCACCCUCCCUGUGUGUUGAUGUCUGUUCACUGGAGGCAUGCUGCUCUCCUAGGGCAGCAAGAGUUCCUGGUGUUGGCAGCUGUGGUCUGUGAGAAAUCAUUCACCAUUUGCAAUUUUGGAAACACAAUUCCUGUUUGGCCAGGGGAAAGACUGUUAAUUAUCUUGGAAAUGAAAGUCUGGCACCCCGUUUUUUAAGGGUCUGACAAAGGGCUGUGUAGGGGAGGGAACACCCCGCAGGACCUUUCUUCACCUCAUCCCCCACUCCUAGGUGUAGCAGCUCCCCAUGUGACCAGCUGCUUUCAGUGCAGCUACCUGGACACACCUGCACAGGGAGCUGCUAAUCCAGAGGGGCUAACAGGGGUAUCCCAAGUGUACCUCCAGGAACUAUGGUUUGGAACAUCCAGCAGGGACUGGGGAGCACCCGGACCCACCUGGGCACGGAGCAUCCCUUUGAGAAAAUGCCAAGGGAAGAGCCCUCUUGCCAAGGGGCAGCACCUGAGCAGGCCGGGCAUCAUGUGGGGUUCCACGGGAGAGCUUUCAACUUUCCCCUUUUAUUGUGCCAGCCCCUCCCUAGAACCCCCAGACCUUCCAAAGCACUCCCAGAAAAGAGGGGGGUUAUGAAGAGAGAAGGGGUUUAAAUUAUGGGAAAAAGCUUCCUUUUCCAUUAUUUCUUGUGUUCAAAUCAUGAGGGAAUGCACUUCCCUGGCAAUUUUAAUGGUCUCAGUUGAAAUAGUCCCUGCCUUUUCUAUGCUGUUAGGGGUGUUAAUUGACAGGGAAUCCCCAUUUUCCAUUAUUUUAAAAAGAAGUUUAAAUAAAAGGGGAAAACCUUGACAAUGUUUUUUAUGGGUUUGAAUUGAGGGUAACCCUUUUUGUUGUCCUAAGGCUUAAAUUGAAGGGUAAGCCCAGCUAUCCCUCUUUCUUAAAGAUUUGGAUUGAGGGGAACAUCCCUCUGUCUUCAUCACUGGAGAGAUUUAAAGUGAGGAAAACUUCUCUUUUCCCAAUAUUCUAGGGGAUUAAAUUAAAGAGCAGAAGCCAUUUAUUUGCCAUUGUAUCCAUUUCAGUGGAGGUAACUUCCCCAUUUCCUCAUUUUAAGUGAUUCACUUGAAGGAGGCUCUUCUAAAAUGCUUUUUCAGCAUUUUAAGGGUUUAAAACUACCUUUCAGGGCACUUCUUUCUGUGCCCUAGGACUAAGUAUCUCAGAGAAAGGCAAGCCUAGCAUGUAUUUAACCUUUAUGCUGCCCAGGAGCCUAGUUUUUUUCUUAUUUUCAUUUAUAAUGUAGUUAGCCCUAAUUAGUAGCCCCAAGGCAACUUAGACUGUUCAUAUAAUUAGUAUUCUUCUCCACCCUUAGUCUCAUGUUGAGUACUACUUAGUAGUCACUGCGGAAUAAUUAUAGAAGUUAACAGCAAAUUACCCAACUUAUCUAGAUAUACUGCCUAAAAACAAAGUUCUAUUUCUUACCAGUUUCCUCGCCCUUUUGCGCCAAGUAGCUGCAGCAAAAAAAAAAGUGCUGUUAUUUCCUUGAAGACUUUUCUUCUAUAUCAAGCCCUUUAUUCCCCUUGAAUUCAAACCAGAGGAACCAAACAGCUGGAGCUGCUCUGAGACCUUUUAUACCCGGCGCCCCCUCCCUUUUCCUGGGUGUCAUGGGAAUGAGAGGCGGACCCAAUCAGGGGUAUAUUAACCCCAGCCUUUGCCAAGGGGCUUCAUUCCCUCUCUGGGAUCAGCUGGGGUAAGAGCUCUCCUCUCAUUUUUGUGAAGAGGCUCUUUCAGCUUAGCUUGUUCUCUGCAGGUGCUUUUGGGCUUCUAAUGCAACAGAGGCUUUGAAGAUACUGUGAAGAAAACAAUGCUGAACACAGGGAGUAUUUAAAUUCAUUAUUUGGGUUUGUGCGUUCAGGGGUGGUAAAGUGCUUUUGUAAUUUCUUUUUUUUUUUUUUUUUAAUUCCUUUUUAAGAAGGAGUGCAACUUCCUGUAAUUCCAGGUUGUGUCAAGUACAACAUUUUUUCAGCAGAUUGAUCUGUCCCAAAAGGGAUCUGCCCUGUGUCAAAGACGAUGUCUGAGAUUGAGGCUUCAGCUAUACCUUAGACUCAGGGUGAAGCGGAAGACUUGAGGACUCAGGUGCACUCAGGAGAGGAUAAGCAGCUGACAAGCUAGGAUUUGUCCCACAUAACACUGAACUCAGCCAUUGAUUUUCCUGUUCUUUAUUCUAGCAGACUAAGAGGCUAACAGGCAAUCCCCUCCGAGGCAGACUAAUUUCAGGUCCAACAUGGAUUUGCAUCACCAGCCAUCCAAUACAUAAGUCAGGGCCACGGCCUGGGGAUGGGAAUAGUGGCCACCUUCUGCAAGAUAAGUUGAGGUCUACAACCCAAAGAGGGGAUGGAAGAGAGGUGCCAGGUUGGGACCCCUCAGGAGGGGUUUUGGAGAUGGGAAUGUCCAAGAAGUGUCUAUUCAUUGAUUGCCUGUCAGCACAAUGUUUAGUUAGCUGGGUUUAUAAUGAAGAUUAUAGAAACUGACAAAUAACUUUUAGGAACAUAAGACAAUUGUGGGCCUCCUCUGUUCUGAAAUCAGCUGAAGACAAGGAAUGGGAGUUCUACCAAGAGUUCAUUUGUCAUAUUUGCAUUGAAACGGUAGAAAGGCCAGAACGAGGAAGACUUCAUUUACUUCCACAUUUUGGGACUCAUCCCCAUGAAAGGGACCACUGACCCAUUUCAGGGAACAAACUUCAUGCUUAAUAGCUUUUGAAAUGAUUAGCAUAUGAAGCAAGGAAUGGGAUGUACCAAAAUGAAUAGGUAUUUGUAUUUUCGGUAUUCAGUACUUGUAUGGAUAAAAGGGCUCUUUAAUCACUUGCAAAGUGCGGUGUGUAUUUGGGAACUAUCCCACAUGCUGCUGGGUGUCGAAUAAACAUACACUUUCUAACUUCAAA
This is a non-coding RNA of Taeniopygia guttata (zebra finch), 3370 nucleotides long. The record is from RefSeq and is a predicted model, not a curated record. NCBI's taxonomy places the organism in Eukaryota, Metazoa, Chordata, Aves, Passeriformes, Estrildidae.